RNAcentral lists this ribosomal RNA (253 nucleotides) under Blautia schinkii. RNAcentral describes it as "partial 16S ribosomal RNA". It matches the Rfam family "Bacterial small subunit ribosomal RNA", at positions 524 to 776 of the family's 1533-position model. Lineage: Bacteria; Bacillati; Bacillota; Clostridia; Lachnospirales; Lachnospiraceae. The record is from RNAcentral.
UACGUAGGGGGCAAGCGUUAUCCGGAUUUACUGGGUGUAAAGGGAGCGUAGACGGAUUAGCAAGUCUGAUGUGAAAGGCAGGGGCUCAACCCCUGGACUGCAUUGGAAACUGGCAGUCUUGAGUGCCGGAGAGGUAAGCGGAAUUCCUAGUGUAGCGGUGAAAUGCGUAGAUAUUAGGAGGAACACCAGUGGCGAAGGCGGCUUACUGGACGGCAACUGACGUUGAGGCUCGAAAGCGUGGGGAGCAAACAGG